GAUUCUGGAUGCCCUAGCUGCAGCUCGCCUCUGGUCUCCCUCGUUUCCUUUUCCCCGGAACCCCUCAACUCGGGCGCUCGAUUCCUUUCCCCGGAACCCCUCAACUCGGGCGCUCGAUUCCUGGCUUCCCCUGGCGCCGAUCUCAUCUGUUGCUCAGACAUGACUGCUUGCAAGCAGACUGCAUCCACGGGCGCCGCCGCCACGUACGAGGCCGACAGCAAGUCGGCAGCAAAGAGCGAUGGAGCGGAGGAGCGGAAGCCCUCGACCAAGUGCAAGAAGGGGAAGAAGGCCAAGGGCAAGUUGGCGGUGAAGAGCAAUGGUGCGGAGAAGCCCAAGACCCAUGACCUUUCCGAUGUUACACGCGGGUUGGCGGUGAUGAGCAUUGCAACGGAGAAGCCGUUGGAUGAACAGCUCGCCCAGUUCGCCCUGUUCACCUACCAGAACGACUUCUGGAUGGACAACUUCAAAGGCGUCUAUGACAAGCCGUCCGUAGAUGCUAUUAAAAGGAAAGCUGCUGAAAACUGGAAAUCCUUUAGCGAUUCGGACAAAGCCCCUUAUGUGGCCAUUGCACGUGUUUACAAAAUACUCAUUGCCGAGGCAAAUGAGUUCAAGAAGACACUGAAGUUGACGCUCGCGAUGACGGACAAGAUGAUGAAUCUGAAAAUGUGAACAGCCAAGAUCUCUAAGAUGUGUUUGAAUUGGUGAUUUGCAUUUUUCUUUUUGCUAUCUGUGUAUCUUUUUGAUUGGUUACUCAAUUAGCAGAAAUGUCUUGGUAGAUGGCAGAAUUACUGCAACCAACUCCACAAAACCUGAUUCUGUCUGGGCGGCACUUGGAGGGUUGAGAUGCAGGUGCAGUUCAAGCUGCCAUAUGGACAAUACUAGGUUAAAAUACGUUUGUGCUCCUGGCUUUAGAUGUUGAAGUCUUUUGCAUAUUGUUAUGUUUGGUUAGUAAAUUUGAAUGGCCGUCAAGUUAUUUCACUACUAAGCCCUGUGAUGACAUUGUGAGAAUGCAAGGGGCUGACCCCUACCAAGAGGGGGCAUGUUGUAUUAUGUACUCCCUCCGUUCCGAAUUACUUGUCGCACGUAUGGAUGUAUCUAGAUCUAUUUUAGUUCUAGAUACAUCAAUUUCAAUGACAAGUAAUUUGGAACGGUGGGAGUAUUACCAACCUCGUGAGAUGUACAUUGCAAUAUUUAAUUAAGGAAAUAGUAAUUCAGAACUCGCUGAA
Molecule: RNA transcript, 1226 nt
Organism: Triticum dicoccoides
Lineage: Eukaryota; Viridiplantae; Streptophyta; Magnoliopsida; Poales; Poaceae
Gene name: DNA-binding protein MNB1B-like
Exons: 8
Source: RefSeq, a predicted model, not a curated record